RNAcentral lists this ribosomal RNA (500 nucleotides) under uncultured bacterium. RNAcentral describes it as "partial 16S ribosomal RNA". It matches the Rfam family "Bacterial small subunit ribosomal RNA", at positions 30 to 523 of the family's 1533-position model. The record is from RNAcentral.
AUUGAACGCUGGCGGAAUGCCUUACACAUGCAAGUCGAACGGCAGCACGGACUUCGGUCUGGUGGCGAGUGGCGAACGGGUGAGUAAUGUAUCGGAACGUGCCCAGUCGUGGGGGAUAACGUAGUGAAAAUUACGCUAAUACCGCAUACGAUCUAUGGAUGAAAGCGGGGGAUCGCAAGACCUCGCGCGAUUGGAGCGGCCGAUAUCAGAUUAGGUAGUUGGUGGGGUAAAGGCCCACCAAGCCAACGAUCUGUAGCUGGUCUGAGAGGACGCCCAGCCACACUGGAAGUGAGACACGGUCCAGACUCCUACUGGAGGCAGCAGUGGGGAAUUUUCGACAAUGGGCGAAAGCCUGAUCCAGCCAUUCCGCGUGCAGGAUGAAGGCCCUCGGGUUGUAAACUGCUUUUGUACAGAACGAAAAGGUUUCUACUAAUACUAGGAGCUCAUGACGGUACUGUAAGAAUAAGCACCGGCUAACUACGUGCCAGCAGCCGCCGUAA